AGAGUUUGAUCCUGGCUCAGGAUAAACGCUGGCGGCGUGCCUUAUGCAUGCAAGUCGAACGGGCGGUCGGCCUUCGGGUCGGCCGUCAGUGGCGGACGGGUGAGUAGCGCGUGGACGACCUGCCCCGGAGUGGGGAAUAACUGCCCGAAAGGGUGGCUAAUACCGCAUGCGGUGGUGCGUUCAUUCGCAUCACUAAAGCUCGCGAGGGCGCUCCGGGAGGGGUCCGCGUCCGAUUAGCUAGUCGGUGGGGUGACGGCCUACCGAGGCGAUGAUCGGUAGCUGGUCUGAGAGGAUGGUCAGCCACACUGGGACUGGGACACGGCCCAGACUCCUACGGGAGGCAGCAGCAAGGAAUUUUCCCCAAUGGGCGCAAGCCUGAGGGAGCAACGCCGCGUGGGGGAGGACGCCCUUCGGGGUGUAAACCCCUUUUGGGGGGGACGAAGACCUGACGGUACCCCCCGAAGAAGGCCCGGCUAACUACGUGCCAGCAGCCGCGGUAAUAC
Molecule: ribosomal RNA, 503 nt
Filed under: uncultured bacterium
Lineage: Bacteria
Description: bacterial SSU rRNA
Rfam family: Bacterial small subunit ribosomal RNA
Source: RNAcentral